Long non-coding RNA from Cottoperca gobio, 1918 nucleotides. RefSeq lists it as uncharacterized. The transcript has 3 exons. Lineage: Eukaryota; Metazoa; Chordata; Actinopteri; Perciformes; Bovichtidae. The record is from RefSeq and is a predicted model, not a curated record.
AGCUAACGUGCAGGACUACUUGUUCUCAAAGCUUCCACCGUGUACGCUGCGCGUGCUCGUCGGUGUUAUACAAACUGUAAACAAUGCGAUCUUCGACCACACCAGUCUAGCGCCGGCCAUGAGGAGGGGAACGCUGCAGAACGUCAUCCGCCAGCUUCCAAGCUAACUGGCUGCCUCCAUCUUGUCAUCGACACGUAAAUAAUACCGGUAGCAGGCUAACAUUAGGCCCGGGGAACAUGCCGCUGCAUCAAAGUGUCAAAGUCAUGGUGCAAGGACGUACAGAGCUGUACAUACCGAUCACUGAAGAAAUCAAUGGCUGAUGGGAAGUCUUUUCGACGUGGAGCUGUGACGCUGUGCAGCAUCUGAGGGAGAAGCCAAUCAUGCCUUCUCUCUCAAUCUGUGAGGUCUCUUGUGUCAAGUGUGUUGUCUUCAAAGGAAGUCAUUUAGCUAUAUUUAAACACAAUUUCAGCCAAACUGGAUGUUAGUUUUAUUAUUAUUAUUUUAUAGCUGUAUGCCAUAUUUAAUGUCAUUCAGGGAACAAGGUGUCAAUCCCAACUGUCACCUGGUGCAGAAGUCUCACACGAUCAUGUCAUUUCUGGAAACAGCAUGCAUUCAUUUGCAUGAGAGAAAUAGUUGUGAUUAAGCAUGGUUUUUAUCAUCUUUAAAACUCAAUCUUUGACAUAUUAAACUCUUUUCCUGGCUCUUUAACACUAUGCUGUUCCAGAAAGCAGGUAACAGGUGAAUUCAAAAACCAAGCAAUGGGUUUCUGUCUUAGUUAGUGGACAGACUUGUUUUUGGUGUUUGUAUAUUUCUUUAUCCAUUAUGCAACAACCACAACUUACAGAUGUUCCAUCUUCCAUCACAGAGUUACAAUUCUUCUGUUUGACUGUAGACAAAAAUGAGCAUGUUUGAUAGUGACAGGGACUUCACAGACGAGGUCAAGAACAUAAAUGGGCAGCGGGCGCACCGACCCUCUGACAGCAGGGGACGACCAGACUCCAUUUGACCCUCCUGACCUGUCAAUUCUGGAAGCGCCUUCCUGUUGUCAAGUGGACACUGCCCAUGAGGUUAUGUCUGUCUGUCUGUCUGUCUGUCUGUCUGUCUGUCUGUCUGUAUUUCAAUAAGGAGGGAUCAUUUGGAAGUGUGAAGUAAUAUCUAUAGAGGUUGGCAACAGAGGAACACUUUGCUGAUUAGCUUGGAUUAAUGUUAAGCAUCAUCAUUAAAAUAGGAACGGAAUAGGAGAGAAAAGAUCUUCCUUAUUGAACAUUUGCCAAAGCUUCACGUCCGUUUCAUUUGGAGGACAGAUUAACGUUAGUCCAAGAUAAAAGAAAACAAUAUGGUGGUGACUCUUUCAGCAUUAUAUGUUACUGUUUUUUGGCCAAACAAACUUAAUCCCAGAUCAGUGUUCCCCAUGUUUUUAAUCUGUCAUUACAAAUUAUGUACGCACAAUGUUAACUUUUUUCUGAUGUAUUGUUCCCACUUAUCAGGCGGUAAUUGGUCACCAAUUAUUUCUGUAAGUGUGGUGGAGUUGUGUAAUCCAUCACAGUGAACAGGAAGUCUGUGUUCAGUUCUGUCAAACCUCCAUUACUGUAAAGUUUAUUGGUAGAUUAAUUUGAAAUGCCAGCGCUCUUUUACAAAACUUAAUGGACAUAUACAUACAAACUUGAUGGAUUAUACAAGUCAACUAAGUCAAGAGUCUGCAAAGUGACUUUUUUACAAAUGAAUGGAAACCAAUGGAUGCUUGGAAAGAAGGAGCAAUACAUUAAGAAAAGAACACAGCAUUGGUUGCAAGAUUGUCAAUAAUAUCUUAUUCAUGGUGUUUAGUAAAUGGUGUAAAACAUGCAACAUCACAUGCUUGGUACUUUAAAGGGACUGCACAGGCAAGGACUCACUUUAACCUCUGAGGAAUGUUACUGGA